CUACGGGGGGCUGCAGUGGGGAAUAUUGCACAAUGGGCGCAAGCCUGAUGCAGCAACGCCGCGUGAAGGAUGAAGGCCUUCGGGUCGUAAACUUCUGUCCUUGGGGAAGAAACAAAUGACGGUACCCAUGGAGGAAGCCCCGGCUAACUACGUGCCAGCAGCCGCGGUAAUACGUAGGGGGCAAGCGGUUAUCCGGAAUUAUUGGGCGUAAAGAGUGCGUAGGUGGUUACCUAAGCGCAGGGUUUAAGGCAAUGGCUCAACUAUUGUUCGCCCUGUGAACUGGGCUACUUGAGUGCAGGAGAGGAAAGCGGAAUUCCUAGUGUAGCGGUGAUAUGCGUAGAUAUUAGGAGGAACACCAGUGGCGAAGGCGGCUUUCUGGACUGUUACUGACACUGAGGCACGAAAGCGUGGGGAGCAAACAGGAUUAGAUACCCCGGUAGUC
This 442-nucleotide ribosomal RNA is filed under the name uncultured bacterium. Its description in RNAcentral is "partial 16S ribosomal RNA". It matches the Rfam family "Bacterial small subunit ribosomal RNA", at positions 339 to 795 of the family's 1533-position model. The record is from RNAcentral.